This 213-nucleotide unclassified non-coding RNA is filed under the name Hevea brasiliensis (rubber tree). The record is from RNAcentral. Lineage: Eukaryota; Viridiplantae; Streptophyta; Magnoliopsida; Malpighiales; Euphorbiaceae.
AAGGAUCACAAUGAACAUUAGGUUCCUCAAUGUAUUCACCAUUUCCAGGUGCACAAUACAUAUGAUAAGCCUCAUAAGGGAAACGAAUCGUAUCGUUUCGAUGAAUUCUUGAUCCAUUUGAGAAAAUGUGGUACGGUGGACACAGUUUUGGACUAUCUGGUUUGCACCAUGAUGGUGUUUCUGGAUUCAAUAUCAUCUCACUGUAUCGCGUAA